This 1580-nucleotide ribosomal RNA is filed under the name Phocoena spinipinnis (Burmeister's porpoise). RNAcentral describes it as "16S ribosomal RNA". It matches the Rfam family "Bacterial large subunit ribosomal RNA", at positions 385 to 2854 of the family's 2925-position model. The record is from RNAcentral. Lineage: Eukaryota; Metazoa; Chordata; Mammalia; Artiodactyla; Phocoenidae.
ACUAUACCUAGCCCACCUCCCUCCUCAUUACUACUAUUAACAAGCUAAUUAAAUAAAACAUUCACCACGCGUUUAAAGUAUAGGAGAUAGAAAUUUAACCACCAAUGGCGCUAUAGAGAAAGUACCGUAAGGGAAAGAUGAAAGAAUCAAUAAAAGUAAAAAAAAGCAAAGCUUACCCCUUGUACCUUUUGCAUAAUGACUUAACUAGCAAUAAUUUAGCAAAGAGACCUUAAGUUAAAAUACCCGAAACCAGACGAGCUACUUACAAGCAGUGACUAGGACAAACUCAUCUAUGUGGCAAAAUAGUGAGAAGACUUAUAAGUAGCGGUGAAAAGCCUAACGAGCCUGGUGAUAGCUGGUUGUCCAAAAAAGGAAUUUCAGUUCAACAUUAAACAAUGCUAAGGACCUUAUCAAGUUUCAACGUAUGUUUAACUGUUAGUCUAAAAAGGUACAGCUUUUUAGAAACGGAUACAACCUUUACUAGAGAGUAAUAUAAAACUUAAACCAUAGUUGGCUUAAAAGCAGCCACCAAUUAAGAAAGCGUUCAAGCUCAACAACAAAAAUAAGUUUUAAUCCCAAUAAUAAAUAAAGCAACUCCUAGCCCGACUAUUGGACCAAUCUAUUUGAUUAUAGAAGCAAUACUGUUAAUAUGAGUAACAAGAAAAUUUUUCUCCUCGCACAAGCUUACAUCAGUAACUGAUAUUAUACUGAUAAUUAACAGUUAAUAAAUACAACCCAACACUAAAUUAUUUAUUAAACACACUGUUAACCCAACACAGGCGUGCACUAAGGAAAGAUUAAAAAAAGUAAAAGGAACUCGGCAAACACAAACCCCGCCUGUUUACCAAAAACAUCACCUCUAGCAUAGCCAGUAUUAGAGGCACUGCCUGCCCAGUGACUUAAUCGUUAAACGGCCGCGGUAUCUUGACCGUGCAAAGGUAGCAUAAUCACUUGUUCUCUAAAUAAGGACUUGUAUGAAUGGCCACACGAGGGUUUUACUGUCUCUUACUUUUAAUCAGUGAAAUUGACCUCCCCGUGAAGAGGCGGGGAUAAUAAAAUAAGACGAGAAGACCCUAUGGAGCUUUAAUUAAUCAACUCAAAAAUCAGAAAACAAUACCACUAAGGGAUAACAAAAUUUAUAUGAGUUGACAAUUUCGGUUGGGGUGACCUCGGAGCACAAAAAACCCUCCGAGUGAUUAAAACCUAGGCCUACUAGCCAAAGUGUAAUAUCACUUAUUGAUCCAAAUUUUUGAUCAACGGAACAAGUUACCCUAGGGAUAACAGCGCAAUCCUAUUCUAGAGUCCAUAUCGACAAUAGGGUUUACGACCUCGAUGUUGGAUCAGGACAUCCUAAUGGUGCAGCAGCUAUUAAGGGUUCGUUUGUUCAACGAUUAAAGUCCUACGUGAUCUGAGUUCAGACCGGAGUAAUCCAGGUCGGUUUCUAUCUAUUACGCAUUUCUCCCAGUACGAAAGGACAAGAGAAAUAAGGCCAACUUCAAAAAAGCGCCUUUAAAUAAUUAGUGAAUCAAUCUUAACCUAAUAAAUUAGCGCAAAUAUAUUAUGCCCAAAAUCAGGGCUUU